Long non-coding RNA from Brassica rapa (field mustard), 489 nucleotides. RefSeq lists it as uncharacterized. The record is from RefSeq and is a predicted model, not a curated record. Lineage: Eukaryota; Viridiplantae; Streptophyta; Magnoliopsida; Brassicales; Brassicaceae.
AGAGGUUUGGAACUUUUGUUGUCUCCAUUUCCCUAGAAAAUAGCGAUUUUAUAGUGGUUAGUCCACCAAUUUAGAAGUAUUAUGAAGUUUACUAUAUUAAUUGACAAAAAACUUAAAAUGAUGCCCAUGUACCAUGAAAAUGAGUUUAAUAUACAUUAAUACAAAUGUAGAAUGUGUUUAGAAAUUUUAAAACAACCCCAAAGAUCAUAUGCUUCAUUAUUAGAGUAUUUACCGAAAUAUUCAGUAUUUUCUUAGGGGUUAGCCCAUAGAUUUUGAGAAAAAUUUAAAAAUAUGAAAAUUUUGUUUUAAUGCAUAGUUGCAUCCUUCACUAACAUAUGAUGAAGGUCAAAGAGGUUUGGAACCUUUUUUGUCUCCGUGUUUCUAGAGAAUAGCUAUUUUAUAGUGGUUAGUCCACCAAUUUAGGGAGUAUUAUGAAGUUUUACUAAAUUAAUUGACAAAAAAUUAAAACGAUGCCCAUGUACCAUGAAA